RNAcentral lists this ribosomal RNA (518 nucleotides) under uncultured Actinomycetes bacterium. RNAcentral's name for it is "bacterial SSU rRNA". It matches the Rfam family "Bacterial small subunit ribosomal RNA", at positions 368 to 896 of the family's 1533-position model. Lineage: Bacteria; Bacillati; Actinomycetota; Actinomycetes. The record is from RNAcentral.
CGAAUGGGCGAAAGCCUGAUCCAGCAACGCCGCGUGAGGGAUGACGGCCUUCGGGUUGUAAACCUCUUUCAGCAGGGACGAAGCGCAAGUGACGGUACCUGCAGAAGAAGCACCGGCCAACUACGUGCCAGCAGCCGCGGUAAUACGUAGGGUGCGAGCGUUGUCCGGAAUUAUUGGGCGUAAAGGGCUCGUAGGCGGUUUGUCACGUCGGGAGUGAAAACUCGGGGCUUAACCCCGAGCCUGCUUCCGAUACGGGCUGACUAGAGGUAUGCAGGGGAGAACGGAAUUCCUGGUGUAGCGGUGAAAUGCGCAGAUAUCAGGAGGAACACCGGUGGCGAAGGCGGUUCUCUGGGCAUUACCUGACGCUGAGGAGCGAAAGUGUGGGGAGCGAACAGGAUUAGAUACCCUGGUAGUCCACACCGUAAACGUUGGGCGCUAGGUGUGGGACUCAUUCCACGAGUUCCGUGCCGCAGCUAACGCAUUAAGCGCCCCGCCUGGGGAGUACGGCCGCAAGGCUA